RNAcentral lists this ribosomal RNA (393 nucleotides) under uncultured bacterium. RNAcentral describes it as "partial 16S ribosomal RNA". It matches the Rfam family "Bacterial small subunit ribosomal RNA", at positions 523 to 918 of the family's 1533-position model. The record is from RNAcentral.
AUACGUAGGUGGCGAGCGUUAUCCGGAAUUACUGGGUGUAAAGGGUGUGUAGGCGGGAAGGCAAGUCGGAUGUGAAAAUUAUGGGCUCAACCCAUAAAGUGCGACCGAAACUGUUUUUCUUGAGGAUCGGAGAGGUAAUGAGAAUUCCCGGUGUCGCGGUGAAAUGCGCAGAGAUCGGGAGGAAUACCGGUGGCGAAGGCGAAUUACUGGACGAUAACUGACGCUGAGACACGAAAGCGUGGGGAGCAAACAGGAUUAGAUACCCUGGUAGUCCACGCCCUAAACGAUGAAUGCUAGGUGUAGGGGAGUCAUCUUCUGUGCCGCAGCUAACGCAAUAAGCAUUCCACCUGGGGAGUACGGCCGCAAGGUUGAAACUCAAAUGAAUUGACGGGG